CGGCCAUUGGCUCCGUUGGAUUCCCCCAACGUCCCAUGUAUCCACCGCGCACCCGCUGUCCGCGUCUGCCCCUGGCUCUGGUUCAAUUUACGCAUCCAGAUACGAUGAAGGUGGGGCUCGCCAUGGAAGCGGUCGCGGAAGGCUGCUGGACAGAAGGCGCCGCUGUGCCUCAUGGGGAUCAAGGUCUGAAUCCAACUAUUAUUCCUCGCAGUAUUCUAAUAGUAACCUGAUCAUUAUGCAUAUGUUAUCGAUCUAGCAAUUAGUUGUUUGGUGUGAUUGUUGUUCGUGAGGUGCUAAUAGGAGUUUCAGGAUAAGUAAAACCACAUCUUGGACGGGAGCCAACAGUGGAUUCACGAUGGGAUUUUCUUUGACUCCUCCAAGUGAUCAGGGGUGGGAGAUUUCGGUGGAUUUGUUUGCUGCGACUUUAUGGGGGGUGGUCGCUUCAAGGAUCAGGUACCUGAUGCUUGACAUGUUGCUUGGAGAAUAGGGGUCCGGUGUUCAACACCACCUUCAGCCCUCUGUCCCAGAUGCUCAUCGCACGCCCAUCCACUUUGGAAGCACGCUGGAGUCAGUAUGUGUGAUCAUGUGGCUCUACCUUGUUUAUCUGGUUGCAUGUAUACUCACAUGCGAAAUAUUAGGUGUCACUCAAGUUGAGGAAUUGAAGGAGGCUUGAAAGAAUGCACAUGGUUGGAAAUUUAUAUUCCUUUUGAUUUCAUAAACUGGUUCAGUUUUCUGUCAGACUCAGUACUAUGUCGUUGGUUUCAUGAACUGAAAAGUCCAUAGUUGAUAACUGGUUCAUAAACUGAAAGUCCCAAACGGCUGAGUUUGAUUUGUAAAGAUACACAGGCUGGCGGCGCUAGGCGCGGGGAUGGGGAGGCCGAGAGGGAGCGAGAAAAAGGGGGUCUGACGAAAACAACACUGUUAUCGGCGGUGGUGGCCGCAGCAAGGCACGGCUAUUUCCUGUGUAUCUUUAUAAUGUACAAGUCUCGUUUUUGUUCUGCCUGCAAGGUGUUGGGAAAUCCAUGCUUUGUGCUGGAAGGAACGCUCUAUUAACUUUUUACUACAUUUUUAUGUUGGCUAAAAAUCCAUUCACGUCUUUGAUCUACAUAUGUCUAUUAGAUUUUGAGAACAUAAGAAAUGAUCUACUAAGUAAGUUGGCAGAUGAGUACUUAAGCUCAUGUAAGGAUUUUGAGGUCUUUGUCUCGUUACUGAAGGUUAAAAUUGUGGAGUUGAAGACGAAGAUGGAUAGCUUGUUGAAUGCUAUCAGCUUAAGUGCAUGGAAGUAUACUAGGAGCAUCAGAGAGUCAUCGGUGACCGGAAGAGUAUCAUGCCUAAGGUUACAUUGAAGCAAUAACCAUAUAUUUAGCGCGUGAACUCUUUGAGAACUAUUAUUGAACAUGUAGAUUGGCUUGAAUUUGACUUGCUGGUAAUUCAAUUAUUAAACAACUUAGGAAACACCCAGAUAUUCUAAGUGGUCUGUGCUAUCAUCUACCAACAUAAGGUAUGCUAAAACGCUGCUGGCCAACCACCUCAAUUGUCUUCGCCUUGUGUUAGCAUGUCAGAAAAGCUAAAAUACGCCGGUCCAAAUUGUGUUCUCUUCGCCUUGUUUUCCAGUGAAAUUUUCACUAUUAAAAGGUGUAUUUGUUUUUAUGUCAUCCACAUCUCUGAUAAUUUGCAUGUCCAUUAGGUUUAUACAUGUGAAGUGAGCAAGAACUUGCAGCCCAGUUCUGUUGUAAUAAUUGCGCUGAGGCUGGACAUGAUAAUCUGUAUUAGAGCUAAUGGAGUUUCCGUGAAUGAACAUUGUGGAACAUGCAGUUUUAACUUUCAUGAUGCUGACAUAUUAAUAGACGGGGUGAAAGGUUCUUUAGCAAGAUAAGAGACAUAUGAGUAUAUGAAAGUGCAGGUUAUGGUCAUGAUGGUUGUCUGGAUGGCAUGAAUGGAAGUUGCAUGGCCUGCAAAGAGUUUGGUAGAGAACAAGGUGGACAUUCCCUGAAUGAACCUUCUGCCUGCCUUGUUGAGAACAUAUGGUUUUGCUUGAACUAUAUGUGCCAAACUUGGAUGAGGUUACACAUUGCCAUGUAAGAUCUUUUUUGUGAUCAGUCAGCCAUAUAGCUAAUUGCAAGUUUUAUCAGAGUAUGUCCAGUCAUAAUUGCAAGCUAGCGAGUGUCUAGAUACAUCUAAAUUUUAACAAAUUUGUGACAUCCUUUUACGGAGAGUGGUAGUACUAUGGGUUAUUUUAGCAUGACUUCUGAACUAAAGAUAGACUACAGCCAGUCGAGAGCCAAUAUUUGCGGCUGAAUUUGAGAACUUAUGGAGCUUUACUAUUUGACAUGUUUCUCAUCUUCCGAACAAUAAAGCAGUGCACCUGAAAUUAGUUUCAGGGGGCAUUCAAUGUUCUGAUCUGCAACUUCUGUUUUUCCCAUGUAAUAUUUACCUUGAAUGGUAUUUAAGUUUAUCGCUGAUUACCUUAACAAAGUUUCUAUUUCUUUCUGAGGCAGGUUUCAUAUAGUUAAAUAUCUGUGGCAGGUGGUGAUGCAGAAUUUGCACCAAGCGUACGUCGAUGAAUUUUUUACAAGUUUUCUUAGUUAGCCUGCUAAUAAUAAUAGGAGCAAUUGCAAAGAUGGUAUCUAUAGGUGAAAUAGUGCGAGUAUCGAGAAGAGUAUGCAUCUAAUCAUCUGGGGCGAGACCUUAAUCUUAAGUACCACAAAUGUCCGAUUUAUGCAAUGAACGAUGCUGAAAUGUGAUGCGUUACUAAUAGCCAAGUUGAUUAGCCUGAAUCAGACUCUUGAAGCUGUCUCCUAGGAGGGAUCCUUUCCCCUCAUCAGCGUCUAACAUUUUCUUGGGGAAUUCAAGUGAAGUCAGUACAAGCUACUGAAAUACUCUCAGAUGAGUAGUUGGACACGUUAGAAGCAAAUGAAGAUGCAAGCCCUGGCUGUCACGUGUCAGCAAAUGAUGUGACUUAUUAGACAGUAUUUACUACUAAGUACUAUAAAUCUAUAAUAUACAAUUAUAGGUUGAUGAUUUGCUCUUUUGGAAUAACAAUCUCUCAACCUGAACUGUUUUUUGACAUGCCUAUCUUUCUAUGUACUAAUAGGUUGAUUUGCUCUUCUGGAAUAACGAUCACUCAACCUGAGUUCUUUACCACCGGAUAGUACAAUCUAUUGGUCCCUUUCUAUGUCCGUGUUUACAACAAUUAUUAUUUACCACAUUAUACUUGGAAAAGUGAUGCAUGACAAGCUAACUACAGGUACGUUGUAGUUUGUUCGGUAGCAUGUGUCUUCAGAGCAUAUAAAUCUGAUUAGCAGAAUGUGUUUUCUAAUUCCAUGUCUUCAGAGCUAAGUCCCCGCGUUCUCAUUUUGGUUGCUUCCACUUUUCAAUAUUUGGUUAUUGUUGAUUUCCGUCUACCUUGCACCUUUGGACAUAAUAACAAUACAUAUUUCUAUCUUCAUGGUAAAGCUCAUCUUAUGGUGAUAUCUACAUGAAAAAUUUAUGAAGGAUGAAGCAUGGAAUUGAUCGAAAAUUCAAUUCGACUCCCCGGUGCAUAUGCUCCCUCUACGGAAACAUUAUAUUUCGAAUUUUUUCAUGUAAACAUUGAUGUGAAAUUUUUUGAAUUUUUUUACAUGUAAAUCUCCAUAAUAUAUGUACGUUCAUCAAGUUUCGCGAUGAACCAAUAUUUUUAUGGUCUAUGUAAAAAGGAUAAAAUUUAUCUUCUGAAAAGCUAUAUUUCUAGCUAUGAAUUUUGUUGUUUUUACUCACGCCACACGAUAAGUCCGUUUUUCAUGAAACGACUUUGUGGGCGCGUAUAAAAGGUUAGUAGAGGUCUAUGUAGGACAAUUGGGCACACACAUAUGCAUGCCUAAUAUUUUUUCUGCAAGUCAGAGAUGUCCUCUUUAUAUGGUUAGGACCGCAGUUGUCAGAUUGACACAAAUUUGACUUUUUAACAUACUAUUUUGCUUGCUGCCUUACUGACUUUU
This is a long non-coding RNA of Lolium rigidum, 3974 nucleotides long. RefSeq lists it as uncharacterized. The transcript is spliced from 6 exons. The record is from RefSeq and is a predicted model, not a curated record. Lineage: Eukaryota; Viridiplantae; Streptophyta; Magnoliopsida; Poales; Poaceae.